CUCCCAUCAGCCACCAGCAGAUUCAACUUCCUUAGCUCCCAAAGCUAUUUUAAAGUCACCCUAUGACACUGACUUAUCUGUUUAUUGCAAAUAAGUGCAUGAGGGAGUAUUCAAGGAAUUUCCUCAGCUGUAUGCUCCAGCCCUGCAAGCAGGGUAGUACCUGCUGCCAGUGCACAGCCCACGGUGAGCCUGGGCACUGGAAGGCUUGGUAAAGCACAGGAGGCCUCUCACAAGCAGGAGAGUGUUUGCUCUUCCUGAUCAAUGGCCUCACAUUAGUUUUUAAAAAAUGUUGAAUAUGAAGUUUGGAUCUGGCCUGAAAACAGCAUUUUUUAGUAUGAGACCAAGGCACAAAGGGCUGAUGGCUGCUGCAUUUAUAGCCUAAGUGAUCAAGUGACUGCCUGUUAAGCCCAAAUCAAUGCACAAGUGUUUAUUUAUUUGAUGCAGAUGAAGAAUUUCAGGAAAGAUUUGAGAGACUUUAAAAAUCUGGCUUUGGGAAUUCAUCUUCUCCAUCUCUUUUGAUCUAAACCAGUGUAACUUGCUUUACAAUCAGUUUUCAGUGGAACCACAGAUGAGGAUAAAUCAGCACUGCAGAGGGUAGGAUUUGGAGCAACAGAACCAAAUUAGGAUCAAAAUCACGCUCUGCUGGGUGUUACACAAAUGCAUAGACACUGUAGCUGGUCCACAUAUUUUGCAGUCUACAUGAUGAAGAUCACAUUUGCUGGUAAUAAACAGCAGGAGGG
Long non-coding RNA from Cyanistes caeruleus (blue tit), 740 nucleotides. RefSeq lists it as uncharacterized. The record is from RefSeq and is a predicted model, not a curated record. NCBI's taxonomy places the organism in Eukaryota, Metazoa, Chordata, Aves, Passeriformes, Paridae.